Long non-coding RNA from Raphanus sativus (radish), 1205 nucleotides. RefSeq lists it as uncharacterized. NCBI's taxonomy places the organism in Eukaryota, Viridiplantae, Streptophyta, Magnoliopsida, Brassicales, Brassicaceae. The record is from RefSeq and is a predicted model, not a curated record. The transcript is spliced from 6 exons.
CAAACUUUAAAGGUCGCGUUUUGUAUUAGGGUUAGCCGUGUCUCCGUCUCGCGUCUCCAGCGUUUCCCCAUCGAUUGCUCUUUCGACUUCUUCAUCCGGUGUGAGAUGAAGCAGUAACGAUUCGCCCUCAUAAAGCUCUCCUUAAUCAAUCAUACACGAUCUCCAUAUUCAAUGCGAUCUUGGAGAGUGAACGGUGGUGAAGGCUCUACUAUAAAAAGACUGGCCGUUCUUCCUCCUCCGUUCAAGUUCGCCUGCUCCGAUUUUGGGAGGCCAGUAACGUCCGGCGUGGUGGAGAGCUUAUGGGAGUCGACAUGCUCCUUCUUGCUUCUCAGUAUGUGUACAGGCUGGCAUGUUUGCUCUUCUUCGCGAUGCCACAGAGGUGCAAACUUCACCAGCUUAUAAAGGAUCGUAUCAACAAUAGUUUCAUGGCUUAUUGAAUAAGUUAAUACAUUCUUUUUCGACCAUUUUUUCCUCAUAACAUGCCUUUAUUAAGUUUGUAGUUCCCAUCACUCCUUACUCUUCAUAUUUCUAUUACACUAGCAGCAACUUUUAUUGAAGAAUUUCAGUGGAAACAUCAAAUGGGAGUCCACAACAUCUUAAUAAACCUCAUGGUUGAGGAACCUGUUUACAUGGCACCACAAGGAGAAAGGAAAAGUAGAGGCUGACAUGGACAUAGAGAAAUCGACAAGGAAGAUUUUGAGACAAAGCUGAACAUAACAAGCACUACGCUCAACGUCACACAAGAAGUUGUAUUCUUUUGAAGUAGACCUUGAAAAGGCAACAUUUAUGGUGCAGAUCACUUCAGCUUCAGUUAGAAAGAAAUUUCGUCACUUUCGUAUGAGCUUUUGCACUGUUGAAACGACCAAACCAAUGCAAGUCUAAAAAUGGAGGGGAUAUUGUAAUGGCUUCUGCAAAAUUAUCAAUGUCGAAAGCAGAUACCGACUUACAGAAGCAACUAGAAGCGUACAAGCAACACAGUGAAAUUUCCAGGUGUUCUCUCCAUGAAAGUAUAGAAAUUAUGCAUUGAUUGUGUGCGAACAAGUGAAAUCCAAAUCUGAGAAGAUGGAGAUUUUUCCAAAAUAGAAACAAAGAUUAUGCUUCGGAAGAAGCUGCCUGCUGCUGUUCAAUAUAAAAAAAGAGUGAGCAUUAAGAAUGUUUACUAUGUAAUGAAUACAAACAAAGAUAUGAAUGUUUGUUUAAGAACC